Long non-coding RNA from Setaria italica (foxtail millet), 718 nucleotides. RefSeq lists it as uncharacterized. NCBI's taxonomy places the organism in Eukaryota, Viridiplantae, Streptophyta, Magnoliopsida, Poales, Poaceae. The record is from RefSeq and is a predicted model, not a curated record. The transcript is spliced from 2 exons.
AUUUGGGGGUCGCCUUCCUCUCGCCGUCUCGCGUACGCAUAAGUGGCCCGACAGAGGUUGCAGCGAAGCAAAGCUUCUGCUUCUGCUUCUGCUUCACAGCCUCUCUCUGUUCCCAACAGGCAACAGGCUCCCUCCACCUCCCAUGACCCAGGCAGAUUACUGGUUACCUGCUCCAACACCCCGCACCACCGCCAUCUCGUUUCUCUCCCCGCGCCUCGCGUACAUGUAUAAAAAGGGAGGGGCUUCUUCCUCCUCCGCACUCCUCCUCACCAUUUCCAUCGAGCACAAGAGAGGAUGAGAUCAGUGAGGAGGACCACGCUGGAGAAGCAGGGCACGUGCAUGGAUACGCUCUCCUCUCCUCUCCAUGGACCGGAGCAGCUAGUAUACAUAUUGCACGUGUUCUCCUUCUCCAUCAAGGUCUUCCUCACUUCGCCGCUAUUCUUGAAUUGCAAGCAUCAACGAACCCCUCGCCUUCAUGUUCAUGUUCAGUAUGCUGCGAAGAAUUACUUGCCAUUUGUCUCCUCGUAGCUUCAUGCAGCUUCUUCUCAUCCGCAGCAGAAAAUCAGAUGUGUCAUUUUCCCCUUUUUUCCGUCUCCCUUUGUUUAUUGUACGACUAUGACGCAGUAGGUAGAAAAAUCCGAAACACGGCCUGUCGAAUUCUUGUCCUUGAUCCUGUCAAACUCAAACUUAAAUGUAGUCCAAGUGGUGAAUGUUGCUA